GGCGAAGUCUACAAUCACUACCCAGAUGCAAGAGGAAGCAAGAUGAAAAUGCUGAACUGAGAAAAGAACAGAGUGAAGGUGGUCAAGAAGAUGGAGUUUUGUUACUUGACAUCCACCAAGUAGAACCAUUGCACAGAUCCAUCCCCAAGUAAUCUGUGUAAUGUGAGGAGCCAACUUGCAAGCACAUCUGGAUACCAGCACAGUUCCUGUGUGACACAGAGAGGCUGCAGCUGAGCAGAGAUCCAGCGGUGCAGGGACAGACAUGCUCAUGUGAUCCAGAGAGGAGAGAAGACCAGGGAAGAGCAGUGUGUAAUCCUGAUAAGAGUCUGCAUGGGCUAACAACCAAUCACCAUUCUAAAACACUGAUUAUAUUUUAAUUACAAUUGUUUCUCAUAUUAAUUAUAUGCAUUAGUGGGUUUCACUAUGGCAUUUCUGGACAGGUACAUAUUGUUCUCUGACUACAAAGCCCUCUCUGGAACUUCUUUUGCCCUCCCUCUGUCCUCCGUGUCACCUUAAUAUUACGUCGUCUUCUAGUUUUCCUUUCUUUAAGUAGUAUGUUUAUUUCCAUGUCAAGUAAUUGCUGAGCAUUUGACAGGUGUGUGACUAUGUCAUAGAAUUCUUUCCGCACAGGGGCUAGAGAGAUGGCUCAGUGGAUAGAGUGCUUGCCUCCCAAGAGUGAGGACCAGGGUACAGAUUCCCUGAAUCCAGGUAAAAGCUGUGCACGCAUGGUCAUUAUCUGCAAUCCCAGCAGUUAAGAGCUCCCUGGAUAAGUCAAAAUCGCCAGAGAUGGUGAGUUCUGCCUCAGAAAAAUAAAGUGAAGAGUGGGUGAAGAAGACAGUCCACAUCAAUUUUGUGCCUUUACACGCACACCUGUGCCCACACGCGUGAACACACAUGCUCGCCCCACAGGACAGGAAAACCUGAACAUAGAUGCUGGUUUAUCUUCUAAAACCCCAUGACCUGGUUGUUAUUGACCUUUAACAGGAG
Arvicola amphibius (Eurasian water vole) is the source of this 987-nucleotide long non-coding RNA. RefSeq lists it as uncharacterized. The record is from RefSeq and is a predicted model, not a curated record. Lineage: Eukaryota; Metazoa; Chordata; Mammalia; Rodentia; Cricetidae. The transcript is spliced from 4 exons.